This 334-nucleotide unclassified non-coding RNA is filed under the name soil metagenome. RNAcentral describes it as "partial contains 5.8S ribosomal RNA, internal transcribed spacer 2, and large subunit ribosomal RNA". The stretch from base 1 to 120 matches the Rfam family "5.8S ribosomal RNA", at positions 35 to 154 of the family's 154-position model. The record is from RNAcentral.
GAUGAAGAACGUAGCGAAAUGCGAUAAGUAAUGUGAAUUGCAGAAUUCAGUGAAUCAUCGAAUCUUUGAACGCACAUUGCGCCCGCCAGUAUUCUGGCGGGCAUGCCUGUUCGAGCGUCAUUUCAACCAUCAAGCCCCCGGCUUGUGUUGGGGACCUGCGGCUGCCGCAGGCCCUGAAAUGCAGUGGCGGGCUCGCUGUCACUCCGAGCGUAGUAGUUACAUCUCGCUCUGGGCGUGCUGCGGGUUCCUGCCGUUAAAAGCCUUAUUUACCCAAGGUUGACCUCGGAUCAGGUAGGAAGACCCGCUGAACUUAAGCAUAUCAAUAAGCGGAGGA